AUUCAAAUAUACUUUCUUGCCCUUGUUUCAUAAACAAUCAUAAGCCUUUAUGUUGAUCCAUUUAUUUACCUUAACACCAACCUUUGCCAGACCUUCUAAGUGCAGAAGAUUUUGGAGGAAGCUAGGGCUGCACUGUACUGAUUUUCUAAAUGGGAAAGAAAGUUCUGAGAAGGAAGGCUACUUUAAGUCUGCUGGCAUAGAAGGGUGAGGUAUCUGAGGUCGAGUCUUCUUGCUGGGUAUUACUUAUUUUUAAAGAGCUGUUUCUUGAUGAUGUAUUUGCACUGAAGAUGUCAAGUGGGUAAGAUGACUUGAUGGGAAUUUGCAACUUCUGGGAGGGUGACAGUUUCCCACAGAUGAGCGUCUGAGCCAUUCUUGCCAUGGUUGUAGGAUCCUUUUCUCAAUUGGGUUUCCAAUGCUUUGAUCUUACUGGAGGUCAGCUUAGAAAGCAUGGUGCUAUCCUUUCGCCUGCCAACCGGGUAUUCAGCUGAAGCAUUGCACGCUGGUGCUUCUUGACUUGUGAAGGUAAGGAGAUGGAUGGAGGAGUUCAUGAUGACCCCCAGAGGUGGAGGCCCGUGGCCAUUUGAGGACUUCUAGAGUGGACACUCGUGCAGACUCCUUGGGUGCCAGCUGAAUGGACUGGUGCUCCAGGGUGAGCCUGGGUGACAGAUGAUAAAGACCUUGCAGAAGGAUGAAGAGGGCACAGACUAGAACUGCAACGUUGCAGCCAGUUCUGCCCUGAUUCCUGCAGGUGCCAAUCCUGAGGAAAUAAUUUGUUCCAACUAUACUAUUGCAAUCAUGAAGUUGACAGCAUCAGGGAAACGAGCUGGAGUCUAACUCAUUUUCUGUUGUGGCAUGAACUUGGCCACUCUGGUGAUAGUGGCCUUGAGUUUGUUGCCCUUAUUGUCCACUGUGUGAGUGUUUUGAACUUUAACUCUAUCUAUGGUAUGGUUGGCUACUAGACUUUGAUACUAGGAAACCUCCCUGGUGUGCCUGUUGGCUCAGACUCUGAUGUGCCUGAAUUCUGAGCUUAGUGCUCCUUUCCUGUGGCUUGGGAUGGUGGUAAUUUCAUGCACAGCUAAACUCAGAAUUUCUCAGAGCCAUCUGGUCGCCGGCCAAGGAUUUUGUGCAUUUGGGUGCAGAGGUCAAAAUGUCAGUCAGGGAAAAUAAAGAAAAUAUCUCCUUUAAUAACCUGUCUCUGGGAAUCAGCCAAGUCUAAGCCUAUCAGAGGGCCUUCAGCCCAUCCCCACGUGCGAGGCUGGGCUGCCCUCAACCAUCUCAGAUGGAGAGUCCUUUAAACGCUGUUGGGAGACAAGAUUCCACAUGCUCCCUCCAUCAACUGUCCCAAGCCAAGAAAGAGAAGAGCUUGUUUAAGUUUGGAAGACUCCCAUUGGCAUGUCAUUGAAGGGGCGUUCUCACAUGUCGUGGGGUGUAGACCCUGUCAACUUCCAUGCUGAGACUCAGGAAAGAGGUUUGGGCUUGUAGCUUGUGUGCCCCAGAGAGAGAAAACCCUAAUGUGGAGGUGAGUGUGUUGAUGGGUUAGAGGCCCAGAUGCCUCAGCCAGCGCCUUCCUUCCCUUUUCGUUUUUUAAUUUUUUUAACCUUUUGUCCCUCUGUAUUUCUCAGAAAUAAAAUGCUCUUUAGAUGGAUUUGGAUUGUGUCUUUUUUUACAGUCUACUGUGAGGCAGUCUUUUGUUCUGUGGAUCCUGGUGUUCUCCAUUUCCGUGUGAGAAGAUGAAAAGGAAUGAAAUUCCCCAAUGCAUACCCUCUUCCCCUAACGUCCUACACCAUCUCAAUGUCCUUUGGCUUUAAUUAUGAUCCUUCUAGGCCUUGGGGAAGACAGCACUGGGAGUCCUCUCUGAUUCCGGUUUCUUUUAUGAACUUGCAAAUAGUCUGUCCCAAGGAUGGAACUUCAGUCCUGUCCUCACCUUUUCCUGACAAAAAUGCCGAUAAGGUUAGAAACAAGGCUAUUCCCAUUCUGCCUGAGGACUGUCCUAGCCUCAUCCCAGCAUCUCUGUUGCUAAACUAUGUGGUUUGGCAUAGCAAGGCUUUGUUUAUAAGAAGACUUUCUGGUUAUUUAUAUAGAAACUUUUCAUUUUCAUGACUUCAUUUGGUUCUGAGACCAUAUUUGAAGAUUCUGUCCGGUGGCAGGCCCAAUCAGUGGAUUCAGCACAAGGGAGUUUUCCAUCUUCCUUGGGAAAGACAGCAAGCAAGCUCAGUUUAAGUUUGGGGGAGAAUUACUGUAGAAUCUCUAAAGCCAUCUCUAUGAUAAGUCCAUAGAUUUCCAAGAAUAAAACACAGUGAAACCUAUUAAAAAACUAUAAUCGAGCUUAGUGAAUGAGAAAAAAAAUGAAAUUCUAUCCACAUAUAGGAUGCAAAUGGAAAGAAAGUGAGAAAGUAGAAUGUACAUUCUUAAAAUCCAUGCCUUUCAUUCAAAACUGUUACCAGUUUUACACAUUCGUGGUUUGGCUGGCCAUCUGGAUAUUUUGGAAAGACAGCUUUAAACUUCUCGUGGAAGUUAUAUUAAAUCUUCACCCUGGAAAAAAAAGCACCCAGAAUUCUCCAGAUGAAUUGUAGUUAGUAUUUACACCCUUCAGAUAAAUAAACUAGGGGAUGGUCUAUAGGCUUUCCCACAAGUGAAUCUAAACCAACAGACAUGAGUGAAAUGGCUUGUCUCAGUGAAUUUUAGCCAGAGCUGCCCCUCUCCUACAGAAUGCUGAGGACUGUCCUGCAGCACAAGUUUGAGAUUCCAGGCUCUCUAAGAUUCCAGGCUCUCUGCACCCAGCCCUUUGAAAAGUGCGAGGAAUGCCGAUUAAUGUAUAAAACAGGCUCCCGUGGUCUGCUGGACCAGCUAUGUCUCAAGGCAGGUCAGCUCCAGUUGUGCAAGUGGACAAGCAGGCUAGGUGGUUAUUUUACUUCUGUGCAUUAGCAGAUGAGUAAUACAGCUCAGAGAAAUGUCAUCAUUGGUGGGUUUAUGAUCUUUUUAACCUUUCAAAGCUCUUUUUACCAUCCAGAGGUGAUGGAUAAGUCACUUCCAAAGACAGCUGCACAACUUUCAUUUUUGGCCAUUAGGCAAAGACAGAUCCCAGCAUAGGGCGUUUUCUUUGGGUCUGGUCUUAAUGAUCCUAGAGUGAUUGUGAGGGAAGACUCAUUUGUGUAGCCUCAAGUGAUUACUAUCUAGCUAAGACAGAUUGUCCUCAGAGCUCCUGGAAUUAAAAACAAAGAUAAUUACAUUAAACCUUAUUAAAAUUGUGCUUUAUAAUCCCAGCAGUAGACUCUCUAGAAACACCCAAGCAGACGAAGAUGUCUCUGGACCAAGUCUUUGGUCAGACAUCACGUUAGUGCCUUAACAAGCACAGACAAGCAUUGAGCCCUCCACACACCAUCUCCGCAAAGCUCCAAUUAGCCAUACAAGGUGGAUUGUGUACAAAAAGCUCCCUUUCUUUUUCAUUCUUUUUAAAAGGACUCCUGCCCAAUUUAUGUCACAUGUCACUUUAGCUCCUAAUUCUGAUGUCUCCUGCCACCUACGCCGACCCUGUCCUCCCACACAUUCUGAUCCUUGUGAAGCAAAGAUUUUUUAGAAAUUGUACAACCAAGUCAAGAGUGCCUGCAGACACCCUGUGGGUGCUAAUGUCACCGUUGCUGCUUCCGUCCUUGUCUAUUUCCUCCCUUUGACACAAGAACAGCAAUUCUUAUCUAACAGAUAAGGAAAAAAAAACAAAGACCCACCAGUGUCAGCAUGAGAGCGAGAUUCAUGGAUUGCAUAAUGCAGCAGUCUCUGUUGCUUUCAGAAUUUCAAAAGAAAGUUGGAAGAGACAGAGGCCCAGAGCUCUGGGUAUUUGCAUUUUUACCAGGGGCAUUCUGGGAAAGGAUGACUCACAUGUGUGAAGAUAUUUAUUCCUUUGAUUCAUGUUUAAACGCUGCUACUUCUUAUGCUACGGUUACGUGGAUUAUGAAUAUUUAAUGCUGCGUAUACUGAAAAUGAAGGUCAAGUCCUGCUCACUGGUGACUUCAAUGCAGGCUCUUGUCUCUGAAAGGGAAGCUACCUGCUGUUCGCGGAGUAAAGCUGAAAGGUUAUACGUUGUGAAAUUUUUCCUUAAUGACUUUAUCUCUCCAAAAUGGCCGGCACACAAUGGGGGCACUUGCUGAUUUUGCCAGUCUUUGCUCUUGGCUUCUGGUAUCAGCACUGCUGUUUUGGGGAUAUGGACGUUAGGAAGGAGGAGGGAACAGCAGCACAAAUUUUGUAGAGCAUCUCACCCAAGGGCCCAAUUGCCAAGGCAACAGUGGGGUUACAUUUGGAAAAUGGCCUCUCCCCAGUCUUUUAAAAUUUUACUUUUGCAUCUACUCACCCAUUUAUUCAUUUUGUCUUCAUUUAUUAGUUUGAAACACCUUCAAAUGUGACAAUGCUGUGUAUUUUCCAGGCAGUAAAAUUGCUUAUGGUUAAGGAAAAGUAUCUUUAAGAUUGUGAUAGAAAUUGACCAGAUUGUUUUCAUAGUCUCUGAAAAUAAAACUGGCACCGUUGAUGUAUUGGGGAUGCCCAGAGCUUUAGCAGAACUGGUUAGUCGCCCAGUAGUUUCUCUCACUCCAGUCUUCACAUAGCCUGGCCUCUCAUCUCUUGGCCUAGAAAUUCUCUUUCAAAAGGGAAGCGAGGGCAAGUCGUUGGAGGGAACUAACGUUCACUGAUUAUGUGCUGUCUGUGAGCUACAGAGCGAGGCACUUUACCAAAAAUAGCACAUACAACCUCAUUGAAUUCCCCUAACAACUUCUUAGGGUAGGUAUUACUAUUCCCACUUUACAGAUGAGGAGGCUGAAGCUGCAGACAUAGCCCAAGCCAUGUAGCUAGUAAGCAGUAGAACCAGGAUUAGAUUCCAGCAUGGCUCAUUCUAAAGCCAUCUCUCUUCUAAGUGUCAAGAAGUAAAUUUCCAGAUUGUGGAAGUAACUGACGGGGUUUAAUGAGAUGUUGCAAGAAAGGGAAGUUGCCUCACCUCAUCCUGCCAAUGCAUUGGUCUUGUUUUCUCUUUUGUUCUCCCUUUCUCCAUUUCUCACCCUGAGAACCAAGUGUGCAGUUGUGGGUACGUAGGAGGCUUCUAUCACAGGUCUUCCACGUAAGACACUGCCCUGGAUCAGGUGCUGUCUGAUGUCUGUUUGGGCCUUGAUUCAGUCCUUCCUAAUAAUGGCUUAAUGGGACCAACUUCUCUGUUAUCUCAGUGGAGUGGCAGCAUUUUGCAAUGGAAGAGGAUCAAAUGAACAAAGAACAAGGAGAGUUGAUUGUUCCUCAUGAGUUUCUACCACCUAGGGGUGUCUUUCCAAGUAGAAAGACUCUUUGGCCUUCCUAGCCUUACCUAGUCUGUCCCUGUGAUUUGGCAUAGUGAAAUAGAUAUGAGAAAUGCUGUUUCCCCAUGAGAUACAUUUUUGUCUCUUUUAAAGAGUUACAGAAUUAGUUGAUUGGUUAUAGUUUUGCAUUAUGUUGUGCAAUAUCUAUAUGCCUAGAGAGUUGGCAUUAUCAAACUAAUGGACUUCAGGAAAAUUUGGCCCCAAAGAAUAGAAGCCACAUAGGAUGGAGGUCUUUGAAAUGACAUAAAGUAUCUGGCUUCCUUCUCCAGCCUUGUUCAAACUGACUAGGCACAGGUGCAGACCCACUGCCUCUUCUGUGCUCAGCCUCAAGACAGGCGCCUGCAAGCGCUGUGAGGCCAGCACAGAUCCCAUCCCAUUCAUGACAGUGCAUUUUAAACUGUAAAGGACUAUGCAUUCCAGCUUUCACUAUCCCCUUUAGUGCACCCCAUCCUGUAGCGUGACCAGGUGGGCAGCCCAUGACAUAGAGAAAGAAGCUCACCAGCUUACUCUGUAACCAGUUCCUUUAUGGAGCACAGCCUUUCUAGGUAGUGUUCUGGAAAAUUAGAUCCAGCUCUCUGCCUUCAUGCCCUUUUUGAGAAGUCACGGCAUACAUUUAACCUUUGUUGAAGAAGUCAACACAAAUCACUGUGUGUGCAAAGCGUCUCCCUGUUUUUUUUCCCUUUUAAAAUACUCCCCCCAAUUUUCUCCAUCCCUCACUGACAUUUUUAUUGCUAGGCUUUGGUUUGGAAAAUUAUGGGUAGGGAAAGUUCAAGGGCAGGAUGUUCAGAACGGCACUGCACAUCUGUGAAGGGAACACAACAGGAGAGCCAGCAGCUGUUGAAAGAAUGGAAUGUCAGAUGGUGGAGGAGCCGAGCCCACUGAGGGAUGGUGGAAGACAAGACGCCUUCAGGGCAAAGAGGCUGUAAAUAACUCCAGUGGGAAGUCCUUGUCCCCCUUCAGAAUUUAGCCUUUAAUAGCAACACUUGGUGCUCUGAUACGAGAGUAACUCUAACUCAGUCUUCCUAGCUCAUCUAACCUUCCACAUUGCCAUUUGUUCAUGAACCGAGUGAAAGCCUGGUAGAGAAGACAGGUAGAGAGUAUGCCAAGGAACACAGUCAACUUCUAUAUAUGUCCUUGUCUCCAUAUGGGCAGAUUCGGGGGACAGGAUCUGUUCUUUGGUUGUCAAACAGAUUGGUUUUAUUUACGUCAAAGUUGAAAGCAUUAGCGCCCUUUCUCCUUCUCCCUUCCACAUUGGUGAGGAAAUCUUGUCUUCCUUGCUUAUUGCUCAUUGCACAAGUAGAACCUAGGCAUCGUAGGCAAUGGCAUCUAGAAGCAUUAAGGGAACUGCUUAUCUUUGACAUUUCACUGGGCAAAUCAGGGACUAUGCUAGGAAAGGGUGGGAGGACUGAGCUGAACCUUUCAGGUCUGCCACAAAAGACAACUGUAGAAUAUAGUAUUAGAGUGAAAGAGGCAUUGGAUCCCAAAUGGUGCCACCAUUCCCUGUGCCUCAGCAUCCCUUCCUGAGGAAUGAGGGUGAGGGACCUCCUCAAGGUCAUCUGACCAGCCAGGGACAGAGCUGGAGCUGGAAGACAGAGUUCUUCUCUGUCCUUUUCUACUUGAUCUCCUGGGUUAUUUCUACUAAAUACAAAAAUGAACAAAGACAUGAUAACCUACUCAUUGAAUAGCAAAGCAUAUAUUGUCUUUUUAUGCGAAUUCUGGACCUCCAGGCCCUUGUCAUGGGGGAAACUUCAGGGCCAUGGGAAAGAACAAAGAUAAUCCCAGGUGGAAAAGAUAAAAUCCAGUCAGGUGGCUGCAUGGGAUUAGUUUAUUUCAUCCUCAUUGGUAAGAGGCCUUGAAUUCCUUGAUUUUAUGACCCUCCUACUAAUCUCUCUCUCUCCCUCCCCACUGUCUCCCUCUUUUUCUGUACUAUUUCAGCAUGGAGGUGGGGAUGGGUAAGAAUUAAGAGUUCAGCUCCACUGUGGAAGGGUAACACAGGGCUAAACACAUUGAAGAGCUGAACACAUUGUUUUGGCCUGUUUGGAAUUUGUUAUGCAUAACUUUUGAGGACAUUUUGUCUAAUUGCUCAUUUGUUUCCCCUGUGGAAACACUAUCUGAUAUCUAUGUCUAUACAUCCCUAUCUACUUUGCCUUCCAAAAUUAGAAUGAAUUAUUUCUUCCCUUCUCGCCAUUCUCCAGAACUUAAAAAGAAUGCUUUGGACAAUCUGGUACUUUCUUAGCCCUCCCUUAUUCUUUUUAAAAGAAUAAUUGUUUCAGGGCAAAUGAAGAAAUGCAUUCCCUUUCAGACCCACUAGUUACUUCUGACCUCUACAACAAGCCUGAGUGUAUACCACAGGAGGGCUGCAUCUCCUCCCUGUCACAUGGCACUGGGCCUCUCCCUAUAGUCACAGGUUGACACGCAUUCAGAGACUGCUGA
Molecule: non-coding RNA, 7763 nt
Organism: Chlorocebus sabaeus (green monkey)
Lineage: Eukaryota; Metazoa; Chordata; Mammalia; Primates; Cercopithecidae
Source: RefSeq, a predicted model, not a curated record